RNAcentral lists this ribosomal RNA (425 nucleotides) under uncultured Massilia sp. RNAcentral's name for it is "bacterial SSU rRNA". It matches the Rfam family "Bacterial small subunit ribosomal RNA", at positions 354 to 771 of the family's 1533-position model. The record is from RNAcentral. Lineage: Bacteria; Pseudomonadati; Pseudomonadota; Betaproteobacteria; Burkholderiales; Oxalobacteraceae.
GUGGGGAAUUUUGGACAAUGGGCGAAAGCCUGAUCCAGCAAUGCCGCGUGAGUGAAGAAGGCCUUCGGGUUGUAAAGCUCUUUUGUCAGGGAAGAAACGGUUUGGGCUAAUAUCCUGAGCUAAUGACGGUACCUGAAGAAUAAGCACCGGCUAACUACGUGCCAGCAGCCGCGGUAAUACGUAGGGUGCAAGCGUUAAUCGGAAUUACUGGGCGUAAAGCGUGCGCAGGCGGUUUUGUAAGUCUGACGUGAAAUCCCCGGGCUCAACCUGGGAAUUGCGUUGGAGACUGCAAGGCUAGAAUCUGGCAGAGGGGGGUAGAAUUCCACGUGUAGCAGUGAAAUGCGUAGAGAUGUGGAGGAACACCGAUGGCGAAGGCAGCCCCCUGGGUCAAGAUUGACGCUCAUGCACGAAAGCGUGGGGAGCAA